GCGCCACUGCACUCCAGCCUGGGCAACAGCGUGAGACUCCGUCUCAAAAAAAAAAAAAAACUGAACGAGGAGGAGAAAAAACCCUGAGGUGACACCAAGGCUCAGUCAGGGUCACCAGGGACGCAGCUGGCUUCAGAGCCUGCAGGCCACAGACUCUCUUGGGGCCAGCAACGGCCCUGGAGGGGAAGAAGCCGCACGAGGAGGGCCAGCUGCGGGGAGCUGUGGCCACGGCUGGGGAGUGCAGGCAGCAAAGGGGCCCCCAGGGAGGGCGUGGGCAGCUUUCCGGGGGACACGCCCACCACCGUGCGAGGCCACAUUUGCAGGAGUGAGUUUGCACUCAGCGGUGUAAGGGAGUGCAAACGCGGACUCCAGCAAACACACUCAUGGUGCAGACACAGCUGGAGGUUGGCAGCGGGUCCAGAGCAGGGAUGCCUCCCACAAAGACGCCGUCCUCCACGAUGCCCCCGAGCAAUCCAUGCCCCGCAGUGAACCCUGAGGGAUGCACCCCAACAGCACACGUGCCCCAGAGCAGAGCACGGGGGGAAAGCUGGAGCUGGGGAUGGAGAGAGGCAGACAGACACCACCCUGCACCCAGCACCCCCAACAACUGACCACAGCCCACCGCCACCCUUCAGAGCACCGAGAACCCGGAUGGCGUGAAGACGUCAGACACCAAAACCGUGGUAACGGCGCCUUUUAAAAACCCGGACAAAGCACAUCAGUGUUUAUGUUCCACGGUUGCUCGGUUACUCGGGCAGCCUGCAAGGCCUGCCAGCAGGGAGCAGUGGGUGUGGUGGGUGAGGAAGGGACAGGACAGAGUGGCUACUUUGUAUCACGUCUUUCCAAAUACCAUCAUCAAAAAGCCCAACUAGAACCCACAACUCCCUCCUCUCCUGGCUACGUGCAAACGCAGCCUCAGCCCAGGCGGGCAUGUGGCGUGGAAAGCUGCCCGCGACGACCACACGGAGGCCCCGGGACCUGCGGCUUUUCCGUGGUUUCCUUCUGAGCUUGUGACAAUUCUGCCCAUCGUGGGUAGGUGGCAGCAAUGCACAGGCCAACAGCGCCCUGCGGCCAACAGCAGCCAGCACCCAGCAGAACCCCUGAGGGGCGGUGACUCUGCAGCCUCGGGGCCAUCAACGCAGCUGCCCUGACCACACAUUCAAGAAGAGCAGAUGACAGAGCAGCACCUCCCCGUGGGCCCGCCUCACAGAGCAGGGGGGUGAAGGAAAUGCAGCCAGGAGGGCGUCACCAGCCACGGGGACUCGGAACACAUUCGACUGUCGCCGCUGGCCACAGGGACUGGGAACACCUUUAACUCUGUCGCCACUGGCCACAGGGACUGGGAACACCUUUAACUCUGUCUCCGCUGGCCACAGGGACUGGGAACGCCUUCAACUGCGUGGGGGGCCACGGGGACUGGGAACGCCUUCAACUGCGUGGGGGGCCACGGGGACUGGGAACGCCUUCAACUGCGUCGGGGGCCACGGGGACUGGGAACGCCUUCAACUGCGUCGGGGGCCACGGGGACUGGGAACGCCUUCAACUCUGUCACCGGGGGCCACGGGGACUGGGAACGCCUUCAACUCCGUCGCCGGCCAAAGGGAUUCGGAACCCUUUAACUCCCCAACUCAUGGUGGGCAGGGGCUCCUGUGCAGACUUACUGCUCAGACACCAAGGGCGACCCUAAAAGCACACCCCACAGCACACAGGGAGCACAUGGAGGUCGCGUGGAGGCCGCGUGGGGGCCGCGUGGGGACCGCGUGGAGGCUGCGUGAAGGUCGUGGACUGCCUCCAACUGCCAUCUCCAGGGCAUGAUCCGUGUUGUGGGUGGGAACUGGGGGACACUGAACCCCUCUGAGAGCACCCGGCACCCCACCCCACCCCAUCCCAAGCCAAGCUCCUAGAUCCAGAAAUGGCUUUUUACAGGUCACCAGCUGUCCACGAUACGUGGGGGAUGGUUUCGACCCCACUAAGGAGGCAACUCCGGGCACCCAUGGGUAUGUCGGAAAGGUGACAGCCCUGCACCACGUGCUCUGGAUGCAUCUGAGGGACAGUGACCACGUCUACACGCAAAACAUGACACGCCGGUCUUAGCCAGCAGGGACCACCUGCAGAACCGGCAGUCCCAAGCCUCCGACGUCAGCUGACAGAAACUGGCUCAGGUUUCCAGGAUUGACUUUCCCGUGACAUCCAUCAAACCCACGAGAACACUGAGCUGACACCAGCAGAAAUGCCAGCUGGCUGCUCUCAGCACAGAAGCCCCGCCGGCCUGGCUGGGGUAGAAGGUAGACGGCUGCAGGCCUCGGGCAGGUCCCCAUCAGGUCAGGGCUGGGAGGUGUGGACAGAAAGCACAAGAGGCGGGUACAGCCCUGACAUCCGGCCCUGGGCUCCCCAAACCCAGCCUGCUCUCCUCUGCUCGGACCACACAGACCUCAGCAAAAGUCUGCACACAACAGCAAUUUUUCUAAGCUUCCUCACCAGCUGUGCCUCCACACUCACACUCACACUCACACUCACAGUCUCACAGCGGGGGGCUAAGGGUGGCGUGGGCUGGGCCGUUCGCAACGGCAGGGCCCUGGGAGCUGUGUCGGGGGGAUCCGGCUCCCUGGACCCUAGAGGUUGGCUGCUGCCAUUGGGAAUGUCUAGGGAAAUGCAAUCAGGCUUUCACUUUAAUACUCUGUGGAUCUAAAAUGUGUUCUACGCUUCCCUCCUCACACACCAGAAAGAAUCAGCAAAGAGAAAUGAGGCACUGCCCGACUGUGCUAACCCCCGGCAGGUAUCAGAAGCUUGGGAAUCGGGCGCAGACGUCCGCCUGGACUCGGGCGUGUAAGGAGCUUCGCCUCUGCUCAGCUUUCCUCUUGCGCCCACCUGAGCUUCCUGUGCUCGCCCAAAACAGCUCUGGGUCCCUGCACUGCUCAGUCCACCAGGGCAGGCCCGGGGCUGCUCUGUCCACCAUGGGGCCGUGCUUGGAGGGAUCUGCAAUGACCACUGGGUCCACAGUCUCUCUCUUAUAGGCACCGCUGGGCAAACCAGGCACCCCACAGCUGCCGCCUCCACAGAAGAGACACACCCAGCCCUGCACCCUGGCAGGCCAACGGGCCGCCCCGCACCCAGGAGCACGCCUCCCUCAUCGAGGGAGCAGCCCUUUGCUGCAGCCUUCAGCCUUCAGACCUACCUGCUUGUCUCAUGAGCUCUCCUCCCAGACCCCUGAAAAGGAAUGAAAACAUCAGAAUUAGAAGAACCUCCUGAUGUACAAAACACCAUGAAAGAUGCUUGCCAGUGUAACCUCGGGCUCCAAAAAGCACUACAAUGAGAACUAGUUGAAUGUGUUACUGAGCAUGAGUGACCUUUCAUGAAAAAAGUAAAAAACAUGGUACAGCCAUCUUCCGGAGGCCUCCCA
This is a non-coding RNA of Macaca mulatta (Rhesus monkey), 3400 nucleotides long. The record is from RefSeq and is a predicted model, not a curated record. NCBI's taxonomy places the organism in Eukaryota, Metazoa, Chordata, Mammalia, Primates, Cercopithecidae.